This 483-nucleotide ribosomal RNA is filed under the name uncultured bacterium. RNAcentral's name for it is "bacterial SSU rRNA". It matches the Rfam family "Bacterial small subunit ribosomal RNA", at positions 373 to 848 of the family's 1533-position model. The record is from RNAcentral.
GGGGGAAACCCUGAUCCAGCCAUGCCGCGUGCAGGAUGAAGGCCUUCGGGUUGUAAACUGCUUUUGUACGGAACGAAAGGCUCUGCCCUAAUACGGUGGAGAUAUGACGGUACCGUAAGAAUAAGCACCGGCUAACUACGUGCCAGCAGCCGCGGUAAUACGUAGGGUGCAAGCGUUAAUCGGAAUUACUGGGCGUAAAGCGUGCGCAGGCGGUUAUAUAAGUCAGAUGUGAAAUCCCCGGGCUCAACCUGGGAACUGCAUUUGAGACUGUAUAGCUGGAGUACGGCAGAGGGGGAUGGAAUUCCGCGUGUAGCAGUGAAAUGCGUAGAUAUGCGGAGGAACACCGAUGGCGAAGGCAAUCCCCUGGGCCUGUACUGACGCUCAUGCACGAAAGCGUGGGGAGCAAACAGGAUUAGAUACCCUGGUAGUCCACGCCCUAAACGAUGUCAACUGGUUGUUGGGUCUUCACUGACUACAGUAACG